CCUACGGGGGGCUGCAGUGGGGAAUAUUGGACAAUGGGGGGAACCCUGAUCCAGCCAUGCCGCGUGUGUGAAGAAGGCCCUCGGGUUGUGAAGCACUUUCAGUGAGGAAGAACGCCUGGUGGUUAAUACCCAUCAGGAAAGACAUCACUCACAGAAGAAGCACCGGCUAACUCCGUGCCAGCAGCCGCGGUAAUACGGAGGGUGCGAGCGUUAAUCGGAAUUACUGGGCGUAAAGCGCGCGUAGGUGGCUGGAUAAGCCGGUUGUGAAAGCCCCGGGCUCAACCUGGGAACGGCAUCCGGAACUGUCAAGCUGGAGUGCGGGAGAGGAAGGUAGAAUUCCCAGUGUAGCGGUGAAAUGCGUAGAGAUCGGGAGGAAUACCAGUGGCGAAGGCGGCCUUCUGGACGGACACUGACACUGAGGUGCGAAAGCGUGGGUAGCAAACAGGAUUAGAUACCCUGGUAGUC
RNAcentral lists this ribosomal RNA (465 nucleotides) under Vreelandella stevensii. RNAcentral's name for it is "partial 16S ribosomal RNA". It matches the Rfam family "Bacterial small subunit ribosomal RNA", at positions 338 to 795 of the family's 1533-position model. Lineage: Bacteria; Pseudomonadati; Pseudomonadota; Gammaproteobacteria; Oceanospirillales; Halomonadaceae. The record is from RNAcentral.